CAGUAGCCGCGGUAAUACGAAGGGUGCAAGCGUUAAUCGGAAUUACUGGGCGUAAAGCGUGCGUAGGCGGUGAGUUGAGUCUGCUGUGAAAUCCCCGGGCUCAACCUGGGAAUGGCAGUGGAUACUGGCUCGCUAGAGUGUGUCAGAGGAUGGUGGAAUUCCCGGUGUAGCGGUGAAAUGCGUAGAGAUCGGGAGGAACAUCAGUGGCGAAGGCGGCCAUCUGGGACAACACUGACGCUGAGGCACGAAAGCGUGGGGAGCAAACAGGAUUAGAUACCCGUGUAGUCCCUGUCUCUUAUAC
Molecule: ribosomal RNA, 301 nt
Filed under: uncultured bacterium
Lineage: Bacteria
Description: partial 16S ribosomal RNA
Rfam family: Bacterial small subunit ribosomal RNA
Source: RNAcentral